This 238-nucleotide ribosomal RNA is filed under the name uncultured Bacillota bacterium. Its description in RNAcentral is "uncultured Firmicutes bacterium partial 16S ribosomal RNA". It matches the Rfam family "Bacterial small subunit ribosomal RNA", at positions 112 to 334 of the family's 1533-position model. Lineage: Bacteria; Bacillati; Bacillota. The record is from RNAcentral.
AACGCGUAGGCAACCCUGGCCCUUCAGACGGGGGACAACAUUCCCGAAAGGGAUGGCUAAUACCGGAUACGAAGCUUCUGCCCGCAUGACGGAAGCUUGAAAGGUGCCCUCAAGCACCGCUGAAGGAUGGGCCUGCGUCCGAUUAGCUGGUUGGUGGGGUAACGGCUCACCAAGGCGACGAUCGGUAGCCGGUCUGAGAGGGAUGAACGGCCACCAUUGGGACUGAGACACGGCCCAG